GCGGCUGUAGCUCAGCUGGAUAGAGUAUCUGGCUUCGAACCAGGUGGUCGCAGGUUCGAAUCCUGCCAGCCGCGCCA
RNAcentral lists this transfer RNA (77 nucleotides) under Oleiphilus sp. HI0065. Its description in RNAcentral is "tRNA-Arg". It matches the Rfam family "tRNA". From Rfam's summary of the family: Transfer RNA (tRNA) molecules are approximately 80 nucleotides in length. Their secondary structure includes four short double-helical elements and three loops (D, anti-codon, and T loops). Further hydrogen bonds mediate the characteristic L-shaped molecular structure. tRNAs have two regions of fundamental functional importance: the anti-codon, which is responsible for specific mRNA codon recognition, and the 3' end, to which the tRNAs corresponding amino acid is attached (by aminoacyl-tRNA synthetases). tRNAs cope with the degeneracy of the genetic code in two manners: having more than one tRNA (with a specific anti-codon) for a particular amino acid; and 'wobble' base-pairing, i.e. permitting non-standard base-pairing at the 3rd anti-codon position. RNAcentral also lists the same sequence under 12 other names. The record is from RNAcentral. Lineage: Bacteria; Pseudomonadati; Pseudomonadota; Gammaproteobacteria; Oceanospirillales; Oleiphilaceae.